RNAcentral lists this ribosomal RNA (467 nucleotides) under uncultured bacterium. Its description in RNAcentral is "partial 16S ribosomal RNA". It matches the Rfam family "Bacterial small subunit ribosomal RNA", at positions 28 to 506 of the family's 1533-position model. The record is from RNAcentral.
GACGAACGCUGGCGGCGUGCUUAACACAUGCAAGUCGAACGGAAAGGCCCUGCUUUUGUGGGGUGCUCGAGUGGCGAACGGGUGAGUAACACGUGAGUAACCUGCCCUUGACUUUGGGAUAACUUCAGGAAACUGGGGCUAAUACCGGAUAGGAGCUCCUGCUGCAUGGUGGGGGUUGGAAAGUUUCGGCGGUUGGGGAUGGACUCGCGGCUUAUCAGCUUGUUGGUGGGGUAGUGGCUUACCAAGGCUUUGACGGGUAGCCGGCCUGAGAGGGUGACCGGCCACAUUGGGACUGGGGUACGGCCCAGACUCCUACGGGAGGCAGCAGUGGGGAAUAUUGGACAAUGGGCGGAAGCCUGAUGCAGCAACGCCGCGUGCGGGAUGACGGCCUUCGGGUUGUAAACCGCUUUCGCCUGUGACGGAGCGUGAGUGACGGUAAUGGGUAAAGAAGCACCGGCUAACUACGU